Molecule: long non-coding RNA, 1065 nt
Organism: Octopus bimaculoides (California two-spot octopus)
Lineage: Eukaryota; Metazoa; Mollusca; Cephalopoda; Octopoda; Octopodidae
Source: RefSeq, a predicted model, not a curated record
UAUCUCCCUUAUAGUGCAUCUAGUGGAUUCUAAGUUUUGGCGUCUUCAACUAUACUCUCGUCUAAUCAACCAGUAUGCAAUCCAACUGCGCAGGCGUGGCUGUGUGGUAAGAAAUUUGCUUCCCAACCGCAUGGUUCCGCAGUCCCAUUGCGUAACAAUUUGGGCAAGUGUCUUCUACUAUAGCCUUGGACCGACCAAAGUCUUGUGAGUGGAUUUGGUAGCCGGAAACUGUAAGAAGCCUGUCACUGCAGCCAUGCUGGAGCACCACCUUAAAGGGUUUUAGUUGAAGAAAUCAAACCCAGGAUUUAUUCUUUGUUCUAUAUGUGACUGUUUAAUCAUGCCAUAUACAAAAGAAGCCUUGGAACUGUCUGAAUUUCAAAGAGGCCAUAUUGUGGGUUAUUCUGAAGGUAGACAUUGCGUAAAAUCCCACUUUCUACAGUCAAUAGAGUGAUCGUGCAGUUCACCAGCGACAGGAAGGAGUCCACAUCACCUCACCCAGAUCAACCAGGUCCCUCUGACAGGACCCUUCUCUUUGCUAAGAAAUGUGUGGAGGAUAAUCCUCAUUGCAGGGCCUCUGACAUAGCAGAACAAGUUGAUGUCAGUCCCAGAACGUCUGUUAAGUAUCUCCACAAACUUAGUUACUAUGACAGAGUAGCAAGAAAGAAGCCACUUCUUCGACCAGCCAAUAUCUAGUGGAGAAAAAUUGGGCCAGCGAGAUAGUGGAGAGGCCACUAGCAUUUUGGAACCUUGUCAUAUUUUCUGAUGAGUUCAGAUUUGCUGUGUUUCCUGACAGUGGUCGAGUGUGGCUCUAGAGACUCUGUGAUCAAAGAAUUUGAUGUGAAAAAAUUGCAGCCAACAAUGAAACAUGGCAGCUAUUCUGUGAUGGUCAUAAACUGAGAUAAAUAUAUGUUCACAUUGCAGAAAGAACUCUUUCCAAUCUUCUCCAGUUGUGAAAUGAUUAAAGAAGACUCUUUAUUUAUGGGAGAUGGGGCUCCUUGUCACUUUUUUUCUUUUCUUUUCCUUUCCUCUUCUCUCUUUUUCCCUCUUUCUUGAUUUACCCCUGAC